Molecule: long non-coding RNA, 276 nt
Filed under: Vigna radiata
Lineage: Eukaryota; Viridiplantae; Streptophyta; Magnoliopsida; Fabales; Fabaceae
Description: long non-coding RNA (VRAD_LNC016678)
Source: RNAcentral
CGGGCAUGCUUUUCCCGUUGUAUCUAUGCUCUCCAUCCCACAUUUCCAUGGCUUUUAACGUGAUAAAUCCACAAUCAUAUCUUAAAUAAUACAACCAUUUAUAAGUAAUCACAACAAACGAUAAGAAAAUAUCCAAAUAUUUCAUUACAAUUAAUAAAACAACUUACAAGUUUGGUUGGGAUGGGAUAUUUUCUUGUUUAACAGACAGAGGACCUAUACUCCCUUCCGGUCUAUUGUACAACAUGGAAAAGAAUUUGGCCAUGUUUUCACCCUACC